Molecule: long non-coding RNA, 746 nt
Filed under: Brachypodium distachyon (stiff brome)
Lineage: Eukaryota; Viridiplantae; Streptophyta; Magnoliopsida; Poales; Poaceae
Description: long non-coding RNA (BDIS_LNC002511)
Source: RNAcentral
AUUGCUUUUAAUUUUCAACUAUAAAUUACCCAAAACAUUAUAUCAUUUUAUUUAGGUGCGUACCAUUUGUACGUGGUAUUAUAUUAGUAUAGGAAUUUAGAACUUAGGUUACGGGAAGGCUGAAUUUUAUUAAAGGCGGUUUAUGAUGUUUGAUGUGAUUUUAGAAUAAUAAACAAAGAUGAAGUUUGGAUCAAGAACGUGAUCGUUGUUAGGAAUGCGGGAUUUAAUCUACAACAGUAGCCUUCGAAGUUUAGAAGCAUUCCUUUUUUUCGUGUGUUUCAGAUAGUAAUUCACAAUUAAUGUUUACAGCUCGAGAUGACCGGUUGAUCAAUGUUUUUUAUCGGAUUGACUGAUCGUUUCAUGUGAUAUUAGUUUUGUAUCUGGGCUUUCAUUAAAUUUUGACCAUUUGAUAUAAGAUUUGGUGGUCAAAAAUAAUCCAGAUAACGUGAAUCAACGUGCUGUUUCCUUUUGGUCACCCUCAUUUUGCAUUUAGUAUAUAUAAUUGAUAAAGCUGGACUUGCUCAUGAUUCUUGAAAAAAAAACAUAAAAUAAAGUUGGAGGUCGUAACUUGUUGAUCACUUAACGAAGUAUGUUAGGUUUCACAUCGUUAAAAGAAAUACUAACUUAAUACUAACCGUAGCAUAUUGGGUUUAGCCGGCCCUUAAACCAAUUUUGAUGGAUCGUGCUAGCCAACAAUAUGCUUCAUUAAAUCAUUUUUUUAAACGGCCACACGACCAGAUUCCACU